GAUGAACGCUGGCGGCGUGCCUAAUACAUGCAAGUCGAGCGAACGGACGAGAAGCUUGCUUUUCUGAUGUUAGCGGCGGACGGGUGAGUAACACGUGGAUAACCUACCUAUAAGACUGGGAUAACUUCGGGAAACCGGAGCUAAUACCGGAUAAUAUUUUGAACCGCAUGGUUCAAAAGUGAAAGACGGUCUUGCUGUCACUUAUAGAUGGAUCCUCUCUGCAUUAGCUAGUUGGUAAGGUAACGGCUUACCAAGGCAACGAUGCAUAGCCGACCUGAGAGGGUGAUCGGCCACACUGGAACUGAGACACGGUCCAGACUCCUAAGGGAGGCAGCAGUAGGGAAUCUUCCGCAAUGGGCGAAAGCCUGACGGAGCAACGCCGCGUGAGUGAUGAAGGUCUUCGGAUCGUAAAACUCUGUUAUUAGGGAAGAACAUAUGUGUAAGUAACUGUGCACAUCUUGACGGUACCUAAUCAGAAAGCCACGGCUAACUACGUG
Molecule: ribosomal RNA, 497 nt
Filed under: uncultured bacterium
Lineage: Bacteria
Description: partial 16S ribosomal RNA
Rfam family: Bacterial small subunit ribosomal RNA
Source: RNAcentral